This 34-nucleotide ribosomal RNA is filed under the name Durusdinium sp. D1. Its description in RNAcentral is "partial 5.8S ribosomal RNA". The record is from RNAcentral. Lineage: Eukaryota; Dinophyceae; Suessiales; Symbiodiniaceae.
CGCGCAUUGCACUCUUGGGAUUCCUGAGAGUAUG